AUAGACAGAAGUCAGAAGACCAG
This 23-nucleotide non-coding RNA is filed under the name Cricetulus griseus (Chinese hamster). The record is from RNAcentral. Lineage: Eukaryota; Metazoa; Chordata; Mammalia; Rodentia; Cricetidae.